GUCUAAGUAUAAGCAUUUAUACUGUGAAACUGCGGAAAGCUCAUUAUAUCAGUUAUAGUUUAUUUGAUGGUAAACCCACUACAUGGAUAACCGUAGUAAUUCUAGAGCUAAUACAUGCCCAGAAACGGUGACUUCGGAAGCCGUGGACUUAUUAGAUCAAGAGCCAACCCUCUUCGGAGGAAUAAGCUGAAUCAUAGUAAUUUUGCUAAUCGCAUGGUCUUGUACCGGCGAUGGGUCAUUCAAAUUUCUGCCCUAUCAGCUGUGAUGUUAGUGUAGUGGACUAACAUGGCAUAAACGGGUGACGGAGGAUUAGGGUCUGAUUCCGGAGAGGGAGCCUGAGAAAUGGCUACCACUUCCAAGGAAGGCAGCAGGCGCGUAAAUUACCCAAUCCCGACACGGGGAGGUAGUGACGAGAAAUAACAAUACCGGAUCUUUUUAGAUCUGGUAAUUGGAAUGAGUACAACUUAAAAUCCUUAACAAGGAACAAUUGGAGGGCAAGUCUGGUGCCAGCAGCCGCGGUAAUACCAGCUCCAAUAGCGUAUAUUAAAGUUGUUGCAGUUAAAAGGCUCGUAGUCGAACUUUUGGUCCUUCAGAUUUGUCCCGUUCUCUUGUAGAACGAUGUGACGAUUCUAAGGACCUUCCUGGUAGAAAGUGUUUCUGCCCUUUAUUGGGUUGGUUGCACGAUCUGCCUCUUUUACUGUGAGAAAAACAAAGUGCUCAAAGCAGGCUUUACAGCUUGAAUGCGUUAGCAUGGAAUAAUAAGAUAGGACUUUGCUUCUAUUUUGUUGGCUCUGAGAAAC
This 800-nucleotide ribosomal RNA is filed under the name uncultured Cercozoa. Its description in RNAcentral is "bacterial SSU rRNA". It matches the Rfam family "Eukaryotic small subunit ribosomal RNA", at positions 57 to 858 of the family's 1831-position model. The record is from RNAcentral. Lineage: Eukaryota; Cercozoa.